AAAGCGUGCGCAGGCGGUUUUGUAAGACUGUCGUGAAAUCCCCGGGCUCAACCUGGGAAUGGCGAUGGUGACUGCAAGGCUAGAGUUUGGCAGAGGGGGGUAGAAUUCCACGUGUAGCAGUGAAAUGCGUAGAUAUGUGGAGGAACACCGAUGGCGAAGGCAGCCCCCUGGGUCAAGACUGACGCUCAUGCACGAAAGCGUGGGGAGCAAACAGGAUUAGAUACCCCUGU
Molecule: ribosomal RNA, 230 nt
Filed under: uncultured bacterium
Lineage: Bacteria
Description: partial 16S ribosomal RNA
Rfam family: Bacterial small subunit ribosomal RNA
Source: RNAcentral